CAGAGGUCUCAAGCGUUGUUCGGAAUCACUGGGCGUAAAGGGUGCGUAGGUGGCGUGGUAAGUCAGAUGUGAAGGCCCGGGGCUCAACCUCGGAAUAGCAUCCGAUACUACCAUGCUAGAGUACUGAAGAGGUGACUAGAAUUCUCGGUGUAGCAGUGAAAUGCGUAGAUAUCGAGAGGAAUACCAACGGCGAAGGCAGGUCACUGGGCAGUUACUGACACUGAGGCACGAAGGCCAGGGGAGCAAACGGGAUUAGAUACCCCGGUAGUCCUGGCAGUAAACGGUGCACAUUUGGUGUGGGCGCAAUCGACCGCGUCCGCGCCGGAGCUAACGCGUUAAAUGUGCCGCCUGGGAAGUACGGUCGCAAGAUUA
RNAcentral lists this ribosomal RNA (372 nucleotides) under uncultured organism. Its description in RNAcentral is "bacterial SSU rRNA". It matches the Rfam family "Bacterial small subunit ribosomal RNA", at positions 526 to 896 of the family's 1533-position model. The record is from RNAcentral.